This 182-nucleotide ribosomal RNA is filed under the name Lethenteron mitsukurii. Its description in RNAcentral is "partial 12S rRNA". The record is from RNAcentral. Lineage: Eukaryota; Metazoa; Chordata; Hyperoartia; Petromyzontiformes; Petromyzontidae.
CACCGCGGUUAUACGAGGAGCUCAAGCUGAUAUUCUUCGGCACAAAGCGUGAUUAAAAUACUAGCUUAAUUAAUACUAUAGAAGCCAUCAUGCCUGCUAGUUGAAUAGGUAUGCUUAAAUAUCUCAACAUCGAAAGAAUCUAUACUAAUAAACUCACUUUGACAUCACGAAAGCAAAACUCA